CCUACGGGAGGCAGCAGUGGGGAAUUUUGGACAAUGGGCGCAAGCCUGAUCCAGCAAUGCCGCGUGAGUGAAGAAGGCCUUCGGGUUGUAAAGCUCUUUUGUCAGGGAAGAAACGGCUGAGGUUAAUACCUUUGGCUAAUGACGGUACCUGAAGAAUAAGCACCGGCUAACUACGUGCCAGCAGCCGCGGUAAUACGUAGGGUGCAAGCGUUAAUCGGAAUUACUGGGCGUAAAGCGUGCGCAGGCGGUUUUGUAAGUCUGACGUGAAAUCCCCGGGCUCAACCUGGGAAUUGCGUUGGAGACUGCAAGGCUGGAGUCUGGCAGAGGGGGGUAGAAUUCCACGUGUAGCAGUGAAAUGCGUAGAGAUGUGGAGGAACACCGAUGGCGAAGGCAGCCCCCUGGGUCAAGACUGACGCUCAUGCACGAAAGCGUGGGGAGCAAACAGGAUUAGAUACCCUGGUAGUCCACGCCCUAAACGAUGUCUACUAGUUGUCGGGUCUUAAUUGACUUGGUAACGCAGCUAACGCGUGAAGUAGACCGCCGUGGGGAGUACGGUCGCAAGAUUAAAACUCAAAGGAAUUGACGG
This 586-nucleotide ribosomal RNA is filed under the name uncultured bacterium. RNAcentral's name for it is "bacterial SSU rRNA". It matches the Rfam family "Bacterial small subunit ribosomal RNA", at positions 338 to 916 of the family's 1533-position model. The record is from RNAcentral.